Molecule: ribosomal RNA, 51 nt
Filed under: Diaporthe caulivora
Lineage: Eukaryota; Fungi; Ascomycota; Sordariomycetes; Diaporthales; Diaporthaceae
Description: partial small subunit ribosomal RNA
Source: RNAcentral
UUUAAAUGUUGAACAAAGGUUUCCGUUGGGGAACUAUUGGAGGGAUCAUUG